AUGAACGCUAGCGACAGGCCUAACACAUGCAAGUCGAGGGGCAGCACAAGGAGCAAUCUGAGGUGGCGACCGGCGCACGGGUGAGUAACACGUAUGCAACCUGCCUGUAAGCGGGGAAUAACCCGUUGAAAGACGGACUAAUACCGCAUAAUACUAAAUUACUGCAUGGUAAUUUAUUUAAACAUUUAUGGCUUACAGAUGGGCAUGCGCAUGAUUAGCUAGUUGGAGAGGUAACGGCUCCCCAAGGCAACGAUCAUUAGGGGUUCUGAGAGGAAGGUCCCCCACACUGGUACUGAGACACGGACCAGACUCCUACGGGAGGCAGCAGUGAGGAAUAUUGGUCAAUGGACGAGAGUCUGAACCAGCCAAGUCGCGUGCAGGAAGAAUGUCCUAAUGGAUUGUAAACUGCUUUUGCAGGGGGAAUAAAGUGCAUCACGUGUGAUGUUUUGUAUGUACUCUGCGAAUAAGGAUCGGCUAACUCCGUGCCAGCAGCUGC
RNAcentral lists this ribosomal RNA (496 nucleotides) under uncultured bacterium. RNAcentral describes it as "bacterial SSU rRNA". It matches the Rfam family "Bacterial small subunit ribosomal RNA", at positions 29 to 518 of the family's 1533-position model. The record is from RNAcentral.